GACGAACGCUGGCGGCGUGCUUAACACAUGCAAGUCGAACGGAAAGGCCCUGCUUUUGUGGGGUGCUCGAGUGGCGAACGGGUGAGUAACACGUGAGUAACCUGCCCUUGACUUUGGGAUAACUUCAGGAAACUGGGGCUAAUACCGGAUAGGAGCUCCUGCUGCAUGGUGGGGGUUGGAAAGUUUCGGCGGUUGGGGAUGGACUCGCGGCUUAUCAGCUUGUUGGUGGGGUAGUGGCUUACCAAGGCUUUGACGGGUAGCCGGCCUGAGAGGGUGACCGGCCACAUUGGGACUGAGAUACGGCCCAGACUCCUACGGGAGGCAGCAGUGGGGAAUAUUGCACAAUGGGCGGAAGCCUGAUGCAGCAACGCCGCGUGCGGGAUAACGGCCUUCGGAUUGUAAACCGCUUUCGCCUGUGACGAAGCGUGAGUGACGGUAAUGGGUAAAGAAGCAGCGGCUAACUACGUG
This 468-nucleotide ribosomal RNA is filed under the name uncultured bacterium. Its description in RNAcentral is "partial 16S ribosomal RNA". It matches the Rfam family "Bacterial small subunit ribosomal RNA", at positions 28 to 507 of the family's 1533-position model. The record is from RNAcentral.